GUCCGAUCAACUGUAGUAAGCUGGUAAGAGCCUGACCGAGUAGUGUAGUGGGUGACCAUACGCGAAACUCAGGUGCUGCAAUC
This 83-nucleotide ribosomal RNA is filed under the name Naumovozyma dairenensis. The record is from RNAcentral. Lineage: Eukaryota; Fungi; Ascomycota; Saccharomycetes; Saccharomycetales; Saccharomycetaceae.